AGAGGAGACCCAGCAGAUUCCUCUGACUCUAUCCUCAGAACGGUGCGGAAUGAACCCCACCCCGUGAAUGAACCCCAGGAGAGACAUUAAGGAGAUGGAUUUUAUUGAUGUCUAGCAGCAAACAUUCCUAUGUCCCAAGGAAGGAUGAGGUUCUGUGCCAGGUUAGGAUAAGAUUACUGAAACGGUUGAGAGAGAAAGAGCUCUUUCCGCUGAGAAGCAUCAGCCUAGAGCUGUGAGCGGGGCUGGGGUGCCGGGCUGGCCAUCUCUGCUCUUGCACAUGGUGAAAACAUCUUUCACUCGGAGUUGGCAGUUCUGCCCUCUCUGCCAACAGAAACUUGGAAGGAGCCGCCCGCGCCUUUCUGCUUCCCGUUCACCCUCCCAGCAGGCCUGAUUAAUGUCCAUUUUAAGCCAGGACGUUUAUUCUGGCUGUGGAGCCUGUGAACGCAGGGCGCUGUGGAGCCCAGCUUCCCCUUGUUUGUUUUGUGCAGGGAUGGCCAUUGGGAGAGAAAAGUCAGGUUGGGAGGCUCUGCUGCACGUCCCCUCUUUGAAAAUCAGAUGACUUCCAAGCAAGGGCAAGGAUGAUCGUGUGUCCUGAGAGACUGCAAUUCUCUGAGCCUCACCUUCUCAUCUGAGGCAAGGUAGCCAUUGUCCCUUCCUCAUAGGGCAGCUAGGAGGAGGGGAUAAAUUCACAUCUACAAAGCACUGAGCACACACGAACAUGGUAAGAGAAGCUGUUCUGGGCAGGAUAGUGUCCCUCCAAAAAUUCAUGCCUCCCCAGAACCUCAGAAUGUAGCCUUAUGUGGAAAUGCAAAUGUAAUUAGGUCAGCUGACAUCAUAAUGGAUGAGGGUGGGUCCUAAAUUCAGUGACUGGCACCCUUAGAGAGGAAAGGGGUGCAAAGCUGUAAGGACACACAGAAGAGGAGCCACUUGGCCAUGAGUCAGACUGGAGUUUCGCUGCCAAAAGCCAAGGAGCUCGGAGGAUUCCUGGGUGGCGUGGAAUGGAUUUUUCUCUUGCAGCCCCCAGAAGGAGCCCUCUCUGCCAUCACCUUGAUGUUGGACUUCUGACCUCCAGAAUUAUGUUAGCUCCAAUCCACCCAACAACUGAUGAAGUUGACGCCGUCAUCACUUCUGUUUUACAAAUGGAGAAACCGAGGCCCUGGUGCUCAGCUGCCCAAGUGCACCCAGGUAAGUGGCAGACCUGGACUUCUUAAAUCCUUGUCUUUCUGUUUCCAAAAU
Molecule: long non-coding RNA, 1236 nt
Filed under: Callithrix jacchus (white-tufted-ear marmoset)
Lineage: Eukaryota; Metazoa; Chordata; Mammalia; Primates; Cebidae
Description: lncRNA (ENSCJAG00000064824.2)
Source: RNAcentral